Molecule: long non-coding RNA, 404 nt
Organism: Tarenaya hassleriana
Lineage: Eukaryota; Viridiplantae; Streptophyta; Magnoliopsida; Brassicales; Cleomaceae
Exons: 4
Source: RefSeq, a predicted model, not a curated record
CAGUAUCAUUCUGGGUGAGGGCAUUUGCUGAGGAUACAGCGAAACGUCUGGAAAAUUUUGGGUUUAUACAAUUUAGGCCUGGAGGGGAAUAUCAUGGGAACAAUCCAGAGAUGUCUAAAUUACUUCAUAAAGCUGUCCGUGAAAAGAAUGAAACAGCUUAUGCAGUGUAUCAGCAGCAUCUAGCUAAUCGUCCUGUUACAGUGGAAUGUCACUUGGAGCUAUCUCGAGAGAAACUCAUGAAACAAUAGCUAUUGCAAUGAACAGAUUAGGUGGAAAGUCCAAUUCAGGGGAAGGAGGCGAGGAUCCCAUCCGUUGGAAGCCACUUACAGAUGUUGUUGAUGGGUACUCUCCAACGCUGCCACAUCUUAAGGGUCUUCAAAAUGGGGAUACUGCCACAAGUGCUA